ACCGCAUACGCUCUACGGAGAAAGAGGGGGCUUCGGCUCUCGCUAUUGGAUGGGCCUGCGUGAGAUUAGCUAGUUGGUGAGGUAAUGGCUCACCAAGGCGACGAUCUCUAGCUGGUCUGAGAGGAUGAUCAGCCACACUGGGACUGAGACACGGCCCAGACUCCUACGGGAGGCAGCAGUGGGGAAUAUUGCACAAUGGGCGCAAGCCUGAUGCAGCCAUGCCGCGUGUGUGAAGAAGGCUUUCGGGUUGUAAAGCACUUUCAGUGGGGAGGAAGGCCUCGUAGUUAAUAGCUGCGAGGAUUGACGUUACCCACAGAAGAAGCACCGGCUAACUCCGUG
This 339-nucleotide ribosomal RNA is filed under the name uncultured bacterium. Its description in RNAcentral is "bacterial SSU rRNA". It matches the Rfam family "Bacterial small subunit ribosomal RNA", at positions 168 to 507 of the family's 1533-position model. The record is from RNAcentral.